Molecule: ribosomal RNA, 885 nt
Filed under: Triticum aestivum (bread wheat)
Lineage: Eukaryota; Viridiplantae; Streptophyta; Magnoliopsida; Poales; Poaceae
Description: partial small subunit ribosomal RNA
Source: RNAcentral
AUGAAGAUUGUCCUUUGGCGCUUCGUGCAUGAUUGUCUCCCAUCAGGCAACCAGCUCCGGAGGCGCCAAGUUCCAACGAGAGCCGAUUGCUUCUUCUGUGGUCGGCUGGAAAGUGUCGAGCACGCGCUGCUGUUUUGCCCCCAUGCUCGGGCUGUGUGGGAUGAGAUAAAGGAAUCCUUCAACGUCCACCUCCGCAGAUCGUCUUUCUCCACUCCCAAGCAAUGGCUGUUUGACUUCCUAUCUUCUUGCUCAGACCAGGAUGCGACCGUUCUUACGGUUUCCAUCUGGCACAUUUGGGAAGCUCGCAAUACUGCAAGAAACGAACCGUUUGCUCCUCCUCCUAGGAGUACGGCGGCCAGAACCAAGGCAUAUAUCGACCUCAUCUUCCAGCAUUUGUUCAAACCUGUACAUGCUACCAGGUGUGAGACCUCUUCCUCUGCCCGUCUUUGGUCUCCGCCGCCGCAUGGUACAAUGGUUGCGUUCUCUGACGCCGCUGUUUGUGAGGGGCUGGGCAUGUCCAGUAUUGGAGUGGUGAUUCUCAACCACGAGGGGAAUUGUGUGGAUGCGUGCUCUGAACCUUUAAGGGGCGUGCGUUCGCCGGAGUUGGCUGAAGCAAUGGCUCUUCGGCGCGCUGUCCGCUUAGCCCGGGAGGAGGGUUUACCAGUGUCCUUUUCAAGUCUAAUUGCCUCUCGGUGGCCGUCUGAAUAUGGGCCGGCCCAAACAGGCGUGCUGUGUCUUCUCUCUGCGUGCAGGGAGCGCAGUAUUGAAGGUUCCUACCGCAUGGGCCGGCGUAAAAUCACCGUAGAACAAUUGUUCUAUGCUCAGAGCUUAAAAAAAAGAACUAAUGACGACUUCUUCCACAACAACUCCUUCAAGAUGGGAUAA